GACGAACGCUGGCGGCGUGCCUAAUACAUGCAAGUCGAGCGAAGUUUUUCUGGUGCUUGCACCGGAAAAACUUAGCGGCGAACGGGUGAGUAACACGUAAAGAACCUGCCUCAUAGACUGGGACAACUAUUGGAAACGAUAGCUAAUACCGGAUAACAGCAUUAACUGCAUGGUUGAUGUUUAAAAGUUGGUUUUGCUAACACUAUGAGAUGGCUUUGCGGUGCAUUAGCUAGUUGGUGGGGUAAAGGCCUACCAAGGCGACGAUGCAUAGCCGACCUGAGAGGGUGAUCAGCCACACUGGGACUGAGACACGGCCCAGACUCCUACGGGAGGCAGCAGUAGGGAAUCUUCCGCAAUGGGCGAAAGCCUGACGGAGCAACGCCGCGUGAGUGAAGAAGGAUUUCGGUUCGUAAAGCUCUGUUGUUAGGGAAGAAUGAUUGUGUAGUAACUAUACACAGUAGAGACG
RNAcentral lists this ribosomal RNA (466 nucleotides) under Gemella haemolysans. Its description in RNAcentral is "bacterial SSU rRNA". It matches the Rfam family "Bacterial small subunit ribosomal RNA", at positions 28 to 474 of the family's 1533-position model. Lineage: Bacteria; Bacillati; Bacillota; Bacilli; Caryophanales; Gemellaceae. The record is from RNAcentral.